AGGGUUGGAAGGCAGGUUGUCAACAUCCCAUCUUUCAUGGUGAGGGUUGACUCCCAGAAGCACAUUGACUUCUCAAUCACUAGUCCCCUCGGAGGUGGGCGCCCCGGAAGAGUGAAGAGAAGGAACCAGAAGGCAGCUGCCAAGAAGGCUGCAGGUGGUGGUGAUGGAGACGAAGAAGAUGAAGAGUGAAGAGUGGAUGAGGCCUCAACUUAGAUCGUGCUUUUAUUUUAUGUGCUCCUUAUUUCAUCGUUAGUUUCUUUUACUGACUUCACAGUCUGUAUUGUAGUGGAUGGUGGUAAACGUUUCCUGUUCUUGUUUUAUUGCGCC
Molecule: long non-coding RNA, 327 nt
Filed under: Prunus persica (peach)
Lineage: Eukaryota; Viridiplantae; Streptophyta; Magnoliopsida; Rosales; Rosaceae
Description: long non-coding RNA (PPER_LNC003899)
Source: RNAcentral